GACGAACGCUGGCGGCGUGCCUAACACAUGCAAGUCAACUUGACUGAAGGAGCAAUCUGACAGUAGAGUGGCGCAAGGGUGCGUAACGCGUAAGUAACUUGCCCCAAGGUAAGGAAUAACGUCGAGAAAUCGGCGCUAAUACCUCAUAAUGCAGCGGAUCCGCAUGGAUAUGUUGUUAAAGGUUUACCGCCUUGGGAUAGGCUUGCGUCUGAUUAGUUAGUUGGUGUGGUAACGGCACACCAAGGCUACGAUCAGUAACUGGUCUGAGAGGAUGAUCAGUCACACUGGAACUGAGACACGGUCCAGACUCCUACGGGAGCAGCAGUGAGGAAUAUUGGGCAAUGCUCGAAAGAGUGACCCAGCAACGCCGCGUGGAGGAUGAAGGUAUUCUAUAUCGUAAACUCCUGUGAGAGCAGACGAAAGACAGAUUAUAAUCUGGAUGACUGUAUGCUCAGAGGAAGCCCCGGCUAAC
Molecule: ribosomal RNA, 472 nt
Filed under: uncultured bacterium
Lineage: Bacteria
Description: bacterial SSU rRNA
Rfam family: Bacterial small subunit ribosomal RNA
Source: RNAcentral